GACAGAGGGUGCAAACGUUGUUCGGAAUUACUGGGCGUAAAGCGUGUGUAGGCUGCCCCGAUAGUCGGAUGUGAAAGCCCUGGGCUCAACCUAGGAAGUGCAUUCGAUACUCCGGAGCUUGAGUCCUGGAGAGGAAGGCGGAAUUCUCGGUGUAGAGGUGAAAUUCGUAGAUAUCGAGAGGAACACCGGUGGCGAAGGCGGCCUUCUGGGACAGUGACUGACGCUGAGAACACGGAAAGCGUGGGGAGCAAACAGG
Molecule: ribosomal RNA, 256 nt
Filed under: uncultured bacterium
Lineage: Bacteria
Description: partial 16S ribosomal RNA
Rfam family: Bacterial small subunit ribosomal RNA
Source: RNAcentral